RNAcentral lists this ribosomal RNA (470 nucleotides) under uncultured Comamonadaceae bacterium. RNAcentral's name for it is "bacterial SSU rRNA". It matches the Rfam family "Bacterial small subunit ribosomal RNA", at positions 910 to 1382 of the family's 1533-position model. The record is from RNAcentral. Lineage: Bacteria; Pseudomonadati; Pseudomonadota; Betaproteobacteria; Burkholderiales; Comamonadaceae.
UUGACGGGACCCGCACAAGCGGUGGAUGAUGUGGUUUAAUUCGAUGCAACGCGAAAACCUUACCCACCUUUGACAUGUACGGAACCCUCCAGAGAUGGAGGGGUGCUCGAAAGAGAGCCGUAACACAGGUGCUGCAUGGCUGUCGUCAGCUCGUGUCGUGAGAUGUUGGGUUAAGUCCCGCAACGAGCGCAACCCUUGUCAUUAGUUGCUACAUUUAGUUGGGCACUCUAAUGAGACUGCCGAUGACAAACCGGAGGAAGGUGGGGAUGACGUCAAGUCCUCAUGGCCCUUAUAGGUGGGGCUACACACGUCAUACAAUGGCCGGUACAAAGGGCUGCCAACCCGCGAGGGGGAGCCAAUCCCAUAAAACCGGUCGUAGUCCGGAUCGCAGUCUGCAACUCGACUGCGUGAAGUCGGAAUCGCUAGUAAUCGUGGAUCAGCACGCCGCGGUGAAUACGUUCCCGGGCCUU